ACCUAAGAUUGAAAACAGUUGUAG
Molecule: non-coding RNA, 24 nt
Filed under: Cricetulus griseus (Chinese hamster)
Lineage: Eukaryota; Metazoa; Chordata; Mammalia; Rodentia; Cricetidae
Source: RNAcentral